UCACGAAGCAGAAUCAAAACCUGGAAAAAAAUUGGGGAUAAUCAUCAUUCAGCUGCUCGUAUAAACAAAUCGAAAAAGGGUGAGUCUUUACCUGGAAAUAAAAACCCUAAUUUGUGUUCAAUCGCAAAGACAAAUCUACGAGUCUUCUCUGCGACCAAGUCUCGUUAAUGUCUUUUUUCUACGCGAAAUUUUGUUUAUAUAUAUUGAUUGAGUGAAGAAACAAAAAUAAUAAAUAAAAAUGAGAGCUAUCUGUAUUUUCCUGAACAUUGCAUUGGCGUGCUCUAUAAAUGUUAUGUAUUUGCUUACGCCCCAUUACUAUGUAAACUUAAUUUUAUGACCAGAAAGACUUCAUUCUUGGCGUCCAUUGUUUUAUCAAUACAUUAUAAAUUUGAGUUUACCUUUCAAUUUUCUUUUGUUUUGGUAAUGAGUUUCAUAAAUACGUAUAAUGUACUAGUUGAUGGUCUGGACUAAUAUAUAUAUAUAUAUAUACCUAAUAAUUUUUAUAAAAGAAUAAAUUAUAAAAUUAGAUACACAUUUUAAAUUAAUAUUUUAAAUUAUAAAAUUUCAAUAUUCAUAUUGAUAAUCAAUGCAUUAUACUAUAAUAUUUUGUUUCAUAGUUUUAUUUAUUAAAUGUAAAUUUUGGAUCAAAAUUUUUUCUAUAGUAAUAAUCAAAUUAGGAUACUUGGAUUUGAAAUUAAACAUAUUAUAUUAGUAGAGUGAAAAGAAAUCCAGUGUCAUUAAAAUGAUUAUAAAAGAUCACAAUCCAUAAAACAUCAACAAAAUAACAAUAGCCAACAAACAUUAUAUAUUUUCUAUAAUUUAGAUUUUGAAAACAGUGAGAUAAAACCACAAAACUAAUAAAUAACACAAAAUUAUCUCUAUAUUCUCUUAGAUUAUAUUUAUAUUAUGUUUAUUAUUUGUCAAAAAAUUUAGUGCUAUUUAAAAUUUUAAUCCUAGUUUUCCAUGCUUCCAUAUAUAUUUUUAAUAUUUUAGUUAAUUUCCAUUUCAUAGUUUAUAUAAUACUAAUUUUAUUUUGAUUUUAAAUAUAUUAUUUUGAUAGCAUUUGUGAUUUUACGGAUAACAUAAAUUCAUUUGUGAUUUUGAUGGUCGUCAUAAAAAGAUACAAAUUAAUUUAUUUUAAGUUAGAAAUAUGAUUUUUUAAUAUUAAUAAUUUCCAAAAAGAAUAAUAGAAACUGAUUAUAAUAUUAGUCAUUAAAAUCAUAAACCAAAUGUAAGAUACACAUAAUUAUGAUAUUAUUGGUAGAUAUUGUUAAUAUUUAUUUAUUAAUUAAAUGUUUUAAAUAUCAUAUAGAAUAGGCUAAUGUCUAUUAAUUGUCUUAAAUAUCAUGCUAAAUAUAUAUAUUAAAAUAAAUUUAAAUAAUAAUAUUAAUUAAACUAAAGACUUAUCCUAAUCAUGAGAAAGAUGACAAGUAAGAAAAUUUAUUUCACAACUAAUAAUAUAGAUUGAUUAGGAUGUGAAUAUGCAAUAUGAAUUGUUAGACAAAAGUGUAAAUGUAAAUGAAAUUAGAGAAAAAAAAUGGGGAUAUAUGGAGCAAGGAGUGGUCUGGUUAAUUAAAUAUAAUUAAUAAUUGUAAAUAUAUAAUUUUUAUUUUAAAAAUUUAGGUACCCAUUUGGUUCUUAAUUCGGUUUCAAUUUCUUGGUUUUGGAGAUAUAUGAUAUGUUCGGUUAUUUAUAAUUUUUCGUUCAAUUUUGGUUUCAAUUUUUUUUAGUUUAGUGCGGUUCGCUAUUCUGAAUAAGUGUUUCAAAAUUAUACAUUACUUAUAUAGAAAUUCAUUAAAAAUCAUUUAAUUUCAAAAAUAAACUCGUGUUUCCGCUAGUUUUUUUUUUUAUAAAGCCAUCAAUUUAAAAUUAAAUGAUUGGCAUGUUGGCAUGUUGGCUUCUUUCUUCCUUCGCAUUUUGUCAUGUCAUUUAAAAGGUACAUUUUCACGCCAACUUUAAUGCGUGAUAUUAGCCGUCUUCGUGAAGGAAAAAAAAAAUCAUUAACUCGUUUACCCGAUUUGGAUUUUGGUGGCUUAAAGGAUUGCGCGUGAAGACUAGCCUUUUGAUGUUACCGUGAUGACUUGACUGAUAUGGACCGUAAUGAAGUUUUGAAAAGUUAAGGUAUCCUAGUGAGAAAAGAGGUAUCUUAAGCUUACCAUAAGCAGAAUCUCAACGUAUCAACGAACGAAUACGACAAGAAACUUGAAAGGGUCAAACCUCAAACGUUUGGACGCGCUUUCUUUUUAGCCAUCUUUCUAUUUUGGUUGAUGAUUCCCACACGUUUCAUGACUUUUUGACCCUUAAAUUAGGUUUUAAAAUUAGACACAUCACUAGCUAAAGCUAGUUCUUUAUACUACGGCCGGGUAAACAAAUAAAAAUGAUUAAAAAAACAUAUUUUAAAUUUUAAUAAAAUUAAAUUAGUUUUAAUUAUAAUGUUCAUUAUUUUUAUUAAUAACUAUUUUUUUCUUUUAGAAAUUAUAUAUUUGUUACUGUAUUAAAACAAAUAUAUCUAUUUUACGGUGUUCACAAUGUUUACUUUUCUUGUAUUUAAUUUAUCCUUAAAUUUUAUAAUUCUAACAAUUAUAAAAAGAAAAGCCAAUUUAUUAUCUUUUUUCUUUAAAAAUAAGCAAGUAGCAUAAAAUAUGAUAUUAAUUGUUGAUGUUUAGUAUUUAUAAAUAACAUGUUGGGUUAUAUAUUUAUGAAUUAUUAUAUUUGAGAAAAAUUAUAUUUAUGUUGUUUUUAUGUUUCUUCAAACUCACAUCAACAAACAUUUGAUAAAAAAAUAAGUCCGCAGCUGUUUUCCUUUUUUUACCAUCAAAAUCUAGGCUAAACUAAUAAAAAAUAGAAAAUCAUAACUAUUUGAUGUAUUGUUAGCUAUGAAGAUUAUUUAUAGAGAAUUAGGAUAGGCCCGCCCUACGGGCGGGAAGUAAGAAAAAAAUAUUUAAUUUAUUCUCAACUUGAAAAUGAUUUUAAAUAUAUUUGUUAUUCAGUUUUGUUAUUUUUAUUGGAAAUCAUAUGCUUAUCUAGCUAAUAAAGAAAUUUUAUUUUUAUUUUAUAUACUGGCAUUAUUCAAAAUUGCGGUUGAGAUUCACAUAUAUGUUUUUUUCUCUUUUAUAUAUUGUUAGUAUUUUUUUUACAUUCUCUUUGAAAUCCAAUAUUAUUUUAAAUUAUGUAAAAAGUAAAAUUUACCUAUUAUUUUUUCGCUUAGAGAUUUACAUAUUUUAUAGUUAUCAAAUAAACCAUAUCAUCCAAAAUAGUAAGGACUUUCUAAAAAAUAUUAUUGUUUAGUUUUCAAGGGAUAAUUAGUGAUUAUAUUAUUUUGAUUUCCUUUAUUUUUUUGGUGGAACUAUGAUUAGUUAAAAUUAAAGCAAGUUUACCCACCACAAAAGAAGGUCAAGUUUAUAGUGAAAACACCUGAUUUUGCAGAAGAUACCUGAUUUUGCCACUGCAUCAGCCACUGCAUUACAUAAUCUAGGAAUACGAUAUAAAAAUCAAACUUUAAAGAAUCUGAUAAAAUGGUAAAUACCACUAAUAUCUUUGCUGAGUCCUUAGCUUAGCAGAAUUCCAAGUUUCUAACUAACAACGGUGAAUUAGACGAUAGGAAUGCCUUAAAAUCCAGAUAAAAAUCUGAAUACUUUGUCUAUCAUUAGGAAGAAUACAAUACUUAUAAAAAAUACAUAAAUGAUAUGACGGAGCUGUUUUCAUUUGAGGCAUGAACCUAAAACAUUCUUUGAAUCAAGAAAAAAAUCUAAAACAUAUUUUGUUUACACUAUUUGACAGAACACAACUUUCAAAAUAAUCAACGGAGCUGCUUUCAUUUGAUGCAUGAUGAGUGAUACCUACAAAUAAGUAGGUUCAUCUUUCAGAUUCAUCAUAGCUAAGUCAAUCUCCUCUCUAGAUCAUCCACUUCAGUAGAUUCCAAGCUGCAAGAAUAUUUGAACACUGAAAAGAAUGAGUUAUCUAUUUCUGGUAAACUUAAUAUAUUAAAGUAAGCAAAAUAGAUUGUAUUUCUUGUUCUUCAUUAUAUUCCUGGUAAACUUAAUAGAUCAAAGUAACCAAAAUAUAAAAGUAAGAAAACAAAUAUACAUGACGUUGUUUUAGUUUUGAAAGUCAUCACUUUCCCUAGUUAUAUAAUAUAAAAACGUUACUUUUUUGAACAUUAUAUAAACGUUAUUUUAAAUAAAUGUAUUGCCGUUCCCCAAAAAAAUAAUAAUAGAUGUAUUGUCUUUGCGUAAAUUUGUAGUGUGAAGAGUGCAACGAAGGGAGGAGGACUUGAGACCGAAGACGUAAGCAACUCUGCUGCAUCUCCAAACGCAUCCCCAACUUUCUCUCCUGUGUUUUCGAUCAGUGUUUUGGUUGUCGCGUUUAAGGUGGUUCAACGCCUUUGGUGAAAGCUGUGCGGAUCUGAUUUUAACAACAGCAUCGUUCGAUUCAUCUAAGAGAAAGAAGAGAUCAUCAACCGAAGAUGAUAGGAAGAAAGAGUUAAUUAGUCCGAGAUGAUUGUUUUUAGAACGGCUAAAAGCUUGUGUGUGUCCUAAAGUUCUAAUGAUCUGAGAUCCACCUGAGCAGCAGCUGCCUCUGAGAAUGUUUUGAGAUAUUUCAGCUUCAUUGCUAGCAGAAACCUUGGCUUCCUGCAUCGCAUCUACUAUAAUUUUUGUGAAUGACAUGAGCUCAUCUUCUUCCACAUGCAGUGCACAUUUCAAUUCUGAACUUAAGG
Molecule: long non-coding RNA, 4717 nt
Filed under: Brassica rapa (field mustard)
Lineage: Eukaryota; Viridiplantae; Streptophyta; Magnoliopsida; Brassicales; Brassicaceae
Description: long non-coding RNA (BRAP_LNC007160)
Source: RNAcentral